CUUGUUGCUUCGGCGGGCCCGCCUUUACUGGCCGCCGGGGGGCUCACGCCCCCGGGCCCGCGCCCGCCGAAGACACCUCCGAACUCUGUCUGAAGAUUGAAGUCUGAGUGAAAAUAUAAAUUAUUUAAAACUUUCAACAACGGAUCUCUUGGUUCCGGCAUCGAUGAAGAACGCAGCGAAAUGCGAUACGUAAUGUGAAUUGCAAAUUCAGUGAAUCAUCGAGUCUUUGAACGCACAUUGCGCCCCCUGGUAUUCCGGGGGGCAUGCCUGUCCGAGCGUCAUUGCUGCCCUCAAGCCCGGCUUGUGUGUUGGGCCCCGUCCUCCGAUUCCGGGGGACGGGCCCGAAAGGCAGCGGCGGCACCGCGUCCGGUCCUCGAGCGUAUGGGGCUUUGUCACCCGCUCUGUAGGCCCGGCCGGCGCUUGCCGAUCAACCCAAAUUUUUAUCCAGGUUGACCUCGGAUCAGGUAGGGAUACCCGCUGAACUUAAGCAUAUCAAUAAGCGGAG
Molecule: ribosomal RNA, 505 nt
Filed under: Penicillium tricolor
Lineage: Eukaryota; Fungi; Ascomycota; Eurotiomycetes; Eurotiales; Aspergillaceae
Description: eukaryotic LSU rRNA
Rfam family: 5.8S ribosomal RNA (bases 129-281)
Source: RNAcentral